This 259-nucleotide ribosomal RNA is filed under the name uncultured bacterium. Its description in RNAcentral is "partial 16S ribosomal RNA". It matches the Rfam family "Bacterial small subunit ribosomal RNA", at positions 793 to 1055 of the family's 1533-position model. The record is from RNAcentral.
GUCCACGCCGUAAACGAUGGAUACUAGCUGUUGGGCGCAAGUUCAGUGGCUAAGCGAAAGUGAUAAGUAUCCCACCUGGGGAGUACGUUCGCAAGAAUGAAACUCAAAGGAAUUGACGGGGCCCGGCACAAGCGGUGGAGCAUGUGGUUUAAUUUCGAUGAUACGCGAGGAACCUUACCAAGGCUUAAAUAGUAGAUUGUACAGGACUGGAAACAAGUUUUUCUUUCGGACAAUUUACAAGGUGCUGCAUGGUUGUCGU